This is a long non-coding RNA of Oncorhynchus tshawytscha (Chinook salmon), 1467 nucleotides long. NCBI's taxonomy places the organism in Eukaryota, Metazoa, Chordata, Actinopteri, Salmoniformes, Salmonidae. The record is from Ensembl.
UUGAACUGAACCUACAACCUUUAUUGCGCAGGAACAAAGCUGUGAGCGGUUAUUGGAGGACAACGCUCUCCUCUGAGUGGGGAAUGGAGAAACACACAGAGACAAAGAGAGAGGGACAGAGGAGAGAGAGACAACAAGAAAGGACAGAGGAGAGAGAGAACAAGGGAAUGAAGGAUGGAGAAGGAAGAAAAGAGAGGUGGGGAGGAGGGAGUGGAUGGACAGCACUCUGUUUGCAUCACACCUCUACAGACAGGUCCUGAAGGGAAAGAGAGGACUCCACUCCACUCCACAGGAUUUCACAGCUCUCUGAUAGGCUUUACACACUCCUGGGCCUUUCCUGGGGAUGUCCUGGGGUUCUUCUGGGGAUGUCCUGGGGUUCUUCUGGGGAUGUCCUGGGGUUAUCCUGGCCCUCUCCUGGGGAUGUCCUAGGGUUCUCCUGGGGAUGUCCUGGGGAUGUCCUGGGGUUCUCCUGGCCCUCUCCUGGGGAUGUCCUGGGCCUUUCCUGGGGAUGUCCUAGGGUUCUCCUGGGGAUGUCCUGGUGUUAUUCUGGGGUUCUCCUGGGCCUCUCCUGGGGAUGUCCUGGGCCUCUCCUGGGGAUGUCCUGGGGUUCUCCUUGCCCUCUCCUGGGGAUGACUACCCCACUGUGAAAAGCCUGUGUCCCACAGAGUGACGCAAGGUCAUGGAAGGGGAUCACUCAGGAUGGCAGUUAACACUUAGCUGGAGGUAUAUUUUGCUGGCUGGCUGGCUGGCUGGCUGGCUGGCUGGCUGGCUGGCUGGCUGGCUGGUGUGUGUGUGUGUGUGUGUGUGUGUGUGUGUGUGUGUGUGUGUGUGUGUGUGUGUGUGUGUGUGUGUGUGUGUGUGUGUGUGUGUGUGUGUGUGUGUGUGUGUGUGUGUGUGUCCAAAUCCCACCCCACCAGGACCUGUUAUAGCCAGAAUCAGAGGGAGGAGGAACAGAGGGAUGGAGAGAGAUUGACAGAGGGAACAUAACAUGAGGAAUCUGUCAUUCAGAGAUGGACAGAGAAGAGGGGAGGAGAUAUAGAAAGAAAGGAGGGGGCUGAGAGAGCAGGAGUGAGGGAAGGAUGGUGGUGCUUCAGUGUGUAGGUGGGCUGGUCAUUACCCUAAUUUCAUACCCCAAUGUCUAUACUACAGAUGUCCAGGGAGAGAGAGAACGAGGGAAGAGGUGAGACAGCGAGGGAAGUAACUCUCUUGCACAUUGCGGCAGACAGAUAUGAUAAUGCAGUGGGCAAUGAGUACACACACACACACAUCGGACAUUAAGUAAAUGAACCUGGCCCAUUACUGUAAUAACUAUAGGUGGCGUGUGUUCUGACAAUAAUAAUAAUACAGCCUUACACACCGUUACACACCGGGGAGAGUCAGCUACAGAGCACAACACAAUCUGAGAGAGGGAGGACAGGAGGGGGAAGGAGGAGAGGAGAGAGUCAGCUACAGAGCACAACACAAUCU